UACGUAGGGGGCGAGCGUUGUCCGGAUUUAUUGGGCGUAAAGAGCUCGUAGGCGGCUUGGCAAGUCGGGUGUGAAACCUCCAGGCUCAACCUGGAGACGCCACUCGAUACUGCUAUGGCUAGAGUCCGGUAGGGGACCACGGAAUUCCUGGUGUAGCGGUGAAAUGCGCAGAUAUCAGGAGGAACACCAAUGGCGAAGGCAGCUCGCUGGGACGGUACUGACGCUGAGGCGCGAAAGCGUGGGGAGCGAACAGG
This 254-nucleotide ribosomal RNA is filed under the name uncultured bacterium. RNAcentral's name for it is "partial 16S ribosomal RNA". It matches the Rfam family "Bacterial small subunit ribosomal RNA", at positions 524 to 776 of the family's 1533-position model. The record is from RNAcentral.